RNAcentral lists this unclassified non-coding RNA (500 nucleotides) under uncultured Glomus. RNAcentral describes it as "SSU rRNA". It matches the Rfam family "Eukaryotic small subunit ribosomal RNA", at positions 591 to 1091 of the family's 1831-position model. Lineage: Eukaryota; Fungi; Glomeromycota; Glomeromycetes; Glomerales; Glomeraceae. The record is from RNAcentral.
CCAAUAGCGUAUAUUAAAGUUGUUGCAGUUAAAAAGCUCGUAGUUGAAUUUCGGGAUCAAUAUUUCGGUCAUGCCGUUGGUAUGCACUGUUAUCAUUGAUUUCUCACCUUCUAAAGAACCGUAAUGCCAUUAAUUUGGUGUUACGGGGAAUUAGGACUGUUACCUUGAAAAAAUUAGAGUGUUUAAAGCAGGCUCACGCUUGAAUACAUUAGCAUGGAAUAAUGAAAUAGGACAUCCGAUUCUAUUUUGUUGGUUUAUAGGAUCGAUGUAAUGAUUAAUAGGGAUAGUUGGGGGCAUUAGUAUUCAAUUGUCAGAGGUGAAAUUCUUGGAUUUAUUGAAGACUAACUACUGCGAAAGCAUUUGCCAAGGAUGUUUUCAUUAAUCAAGAACGAAAGUUAGGGGAUCGAAGACGAUCAGAUACCGUCGUAGUCUUAACCAUAAACUAUGCCGACUAGGGAUCGGAUGAUGUUAAUUUUUUAAUGACUCAUUCGGCGCCUUAC